GAUUUUUACAUCGAUUACGAUAGCGGUGCGGAGCCGAUGAACUUUUUCCAUGUCUUCCUCUACAGUCAAGCCCUCGAGUGUGUUGUUCUCUCCUUGUUGUUGACCUUCCUGGCUUACUGGACGGCGCUCAUCGUGGUUAUGGUUUGGGUCAUGAGUUCCUAAGGCAUAGUGAGCGAUGCUCUGUAUUGGUGCAUGUCGUUGAUGGUUCUGCACAACAACCAGAAUAUGAGUUUGAGGCAGUUCGCUUGGAGCUGGAGUUAUUUAGCCCAUCUUUGGUUGACAAACCGUAUGUUGUGGUGUACAAUAAGAUGGACCUUCCAGAGGCAUCUGAUAGAUGGAAUGCAUUUAGGGAAAAGCUAUAGUCUGAAGGCAUCGAACCUUUCUACAUUAGUGAAUAAACAGGCAGGGCACACAGGACGUCAUUCAUGCUGCUUACAAGCUUCUGCAGAAAUAGAGGCAAAGGAUGAAGGAAACUGAAGGAUGGAGUGGGCCAGAAAAUCUGAACCACGUGUCUGAGGCAAUAAAAAAGGAAAGACGUGCACCCAUGAAUGAGUUUGAGGUUUUCCAUGAUAAGGGUACAAAUAGAUGGACUGUUGUCGGGGCUGGAAUCCAGUGUUUUGUCCAGAUGACUAACUGGCAGUAA
This is a long non-coding RNA of Zea mays, 643 nucleotides long. RefSeq lists it as uncharacterized. The transcript has 4 exons. The record is from RefSeq and is a predicted model, not a curated record. Lineage: Eukaryota; Viridiplantae; Streptophyta; Magnoliopsida; Poales; Poaceae.